UUGCGCUGCCUUUGAGCCCCCGGCGCGCCUGCACGUGGCCGCCGGGGUCUAGCUGCGGUGCCACAGUAGGCGCUCGCGCAUAACUGGGGGCCCCUUUAACCGCGAGCUACAUCG
This is a small nucleolar RNA of Jaculus jaculus (lesser Egyptian jerboa), 114 nucleotides long. Lineage: Eukaryota; Metazoa; Chordata; Mammalia; Rodentia; Dipodidae. The record is from Ensembl.